GACGAACGCUGGCGGCGUGCUUAACACAUGCAAGUCGAACGGUGAAGCGCCUUCCUUUUUGGUGGGUGUGGAUGAGUGGCGAACGGGUGAGUAACACGUGAGUAACCUGCCCCCUUCUUCUGGAUAACCGCAUGAAAGUGUGGCUAAUACGGGAUAUUCUGGGUCUGUCGCAUGAUGGGUCUGGGAAAGAUAUUGUUUCGGUGGGGGAUGGGCUCGCGGCCUAUCAGCUUGUUGGUGGGGUGAUGGCCUACCAAGGCGGUGACGGGUAGCCGGCCUGAGAGGGUGGACGGUCACAAUGGGACUGAGACACGGCCCAGACUCCUACGGGAGGCAGCAGUGGGGAAUAUUGCACAAUGGGCGCAAGCCUGAUGCAGCGACGCCGCGUGAGGGAUGGAGGCCUUCGGGUUGUGAACCUCUUUCGCCAGUGAAGCAGGCCUGCCUCGUUUGUGGGUGGGUUGACGGUAGCUGGAGAAGAAGCGCCGGCUAACUACGUG
This 494-nucleotide ribosomal RNA is filed under the name uncultured bacterium. RNAcentral describes it as "partial 16S ribosomal RNA". It matches the Rfam family "Bacterial small subunit ribosomal RNA", at positions 28 to 507 of the family's 1533-position model. The record is from RNAcentral.